Molecule: long non-coding RNA, 861 nt
Organism: Camelus dromedarius (Arabian camel)
Lineage: Eukaryota; Metazoa; Chordata; Mammalia; Artiodactyla; Camelidae
Exons: 4
Source: RefSeq, a predicted model, not a curated record
UCUCGUGUCCCAAAUUAGACUACAAUCUCAGGUAAGCAGAACGAUAGACCUUCCUUGUUUUUCUCUCGCUAACUGUUCCUUUUACUAAUGAUUACCACUGAGCCUGGGCUCUUUGCCUUUUACUCCAGAUCAAGUCAGGCUGCUCUGGCAGAGAACCUGUUGGUUUUCACUGCCAUCCUGCCGCGUUAGCACUUCAUCACCCGUCGAGCUGGGGAGAAGAUUGGGAGGAACCCAGGGGAUACAGCAGUUGUCAAAACAGAUGAGUUUAUCCUCAUGGCUCUCACAUUCUCAGUUGGAGGAGAAAAGUGCACAAAAUUUAUGUAGCACUUUAGAAGCUGUGCAGUGCUUGCUGUUCUGAGGAUUUCCUGGCCAGUUCUGCUGCUUUUGGAUCCAGAGCAGUUUGCAGGUGAAGAAACUAAGACCCAGAAAGAGGAAAUGACUCACCCAAGAUCACACAGUUGGUUUCUAAUAGGUCCUCUCAUCACUAAUGGCCAUAUUGAGCGUAUAAGCCUGUGGUUUCCAUGGAAAUAAAAAGCCUCCACAUGUCCACUCAGAUGCUCACCAACUGAUGAAAGAAUCAUGUCUUGGAGGAAAUUGGAAAUCAAAUUCAGUAAGUGUAUUAUGGGAUCUGGGCUCUGGAGGGGAGGGAGAGUGUUAACAAGGAUACCUGGAGAUGAAAAUACGGACCAGGUAAGCUCUGUUUGGCUUCCUCUUUGCUACUGCUGAUGGGUGCAGUACCUGCUCAGUGGUGUCCUUUGGCUUAAAGGCAUUCCUGUUUCAUAGUCUGCAUUCUGACUGUAAUUUUCAACUCUGCUUCAUUCUACUAAAACUUUCAUUAUCAUUCUCCAAAGAAUUUCUGCU